GGCAGUCGUAACCUAAUGGUUAGAGAGUUGGACUCGUAACCCGAGGGUUGCGGGUUUGAGUCCCAGGUCUGGCA
Pangasius djambal is the source of this 74-nucleotide non-coding RNA. NCBI's taxonomy places the organism in Eukaryota, Metazoa, Chordata, Actinopteri, Siluriformes, Pangasiidae. The record is from the annotation of a GenBank genome assembly.